Cicer arietinum (chickpea) is the source of this 645-nucleotide long non-coding RNA. RefSeq lists it as uncharacterized. NCBI's taxonomy places the organism in Eukaryota, Viridiplantae, Streptophyta, Magnoliopsida, Fabales, Fabaceae. The record is from RefSeq and is a predicted model, not a curated record.
ACAAGGACCAAAGAGAAGAUUCUGGUUUGUAGACAUGUAGAGAGUUCAACAGAAUCAAAGGCGGCAAAGAGUAAAGUAGUGAAAGAUGCAGGUGGAGUUGGAAUGAUACUUAUUGAUGAGACAGAUCAAGAUGUUGCCAUUCCAUUUUUGAUCCCUUCAGCUAUUCUUGGAAUGCAAACAGGAGAAAAGAUUCUAUCCUAUCUCAAGACUACAAGCUAGAAGGAGUGUAUGCCUUGAUCCCUUAGAACAAAUAAUCCGAAGAUGCAUUCGCAUUGUCAAAAGUGUAGCAGUCGACCAUGGUGGAUGUGCCAUGUGCGGUGUGAAAAGGAAUAUUAUGUUGGAUGUUUGAAGGAACAUAACAUGCAAAAUCUAGAGCAGACAAUGAAAUCUUUGGCCAAGGAUUGUGAAUAAUAGUAAUCAUUCAAGUGAUUUGGUUGUGUUAAUUCAUAUGAAUCUUUUUGGGUUAAUCCUGAUUAUUAAUAUUAUUACUAUCUUUUAUGUAUACUCAAACUUGUGAUUUGUUUGUGUUUUCAUGUUUAGUAUAAUGUAUUGUCACCAUAGUUGAUGUCAUCAUGUGACUCCUCGGGUCGGAACAUGUUCCAUUCGAUUAUAUCUAUAAUUAUAUUAUUAUUCUGGUUCUACUUA